RNAcentral lists this ribosomal RNA (779 nucleotides) under uncultured bacterium. RNAcentral's name for it is "bacterial SSU rRNA". It matches the Rfam family "Bacterial small subunit ribosomal RNA", at positions 8 to 798 of the family's 1533-position model. The record is from RNAcentral.
AGAGUUUGAUCCUGGCUCAGGAUGAACGCUGGCGGCGUGCUUAACACAUGCAAGUCGAACGGUGAACACGGAGCUUGCUCUGUGGGAUCAGUGGCGAACGGGUGAGUAACACGUGAGCAACCUGCCCCUGACUCUGGGAUAAGCGCUGGAAACGGCGUCUAAUACUGGAUAUGUGACGUGAUCGCAUGGUCUGCGUCUGGAAAGAAUUUCGGUUGGGGGUGGGCUCGCGGCCUAUCAGCUUGUUGGUGAGGUAAUGGCUCACCAAGGCGUCGACGGGUAGCCGGCCUGAGAGGGUGACCGGCCACACUGGGACUGAGACACGGCCCAGACUCCUACGGGAGGCAGCAGUGGGGAAUAUUGCACAAUGGGCGCAAGCCUGAUGCAGCAACGCCGCGUGAGGGACGACGGCCUUCGGGUUGUAAACCUCUUUUAGCAGGGAAGAAGCGAAAGUGACGGUACCUGCAGAAAAAGCGCCGGCUAACUACGUGCCAGCAGCCGCGGUAAUACGUAGGGCGCAAGCGUUAUCCGGAAUUAUUGGGCGUAAAGAGCUCGUAGGCGGUUUGUCGCGUCUGCUGUGAAAUCCGGAGGCUCAACCUCCGGCCUGCAGUGGGUACGGGCAGACUAGAGUGCGGUAGGGGAGAUUGGAAUUCCUGGUGUAGCGGUGGAAUGCGCAGAUAUCAGGAGGAACACCGAUGGCGAAGGCAGAUCUCUGGGCCGUAACUGACGCUGAGGAGCGAAAGGGUGGGGAGCAAACAGGCUUAGAUACCCUGGUAGUCCAA